This 1414-nucleotide ribosomal RNA is filed under the name uncultured bacterium. RNAcentral describes it as "bacterial SSU rRNA". It matches the Rfam family "Bacterial small subunit ribosomal RNA", at positions 1 to 1374 of the family's 1533-position model. The record is from RNAcentral.
UCGACCAGCCAAAUACCUCAUAAAGGGCCAGUCUGUUUGUUUAAACGAAUUCGCCCUUAGAGUUUCAUCCUGGCUCAGGAUAAACGCUGGCGGCGCACAUAAGACAUGCAAGUCGAACGGACUUAACCAUUAGUUUACUAUUGGAGCGGUUAGUGGCGGACUGGUGAGUAACACGUAAGCAACCUGCCUAUCAGAGGGGAACAACAGUUAGAAAUGACUGCUAAUACCGCAUAUGCCUAAGUACCACAUGAUACAAUAGGGAAAGGAGCAAUCCGCUGAUAGAUGGGCUUGCGUCUGAUUAGAUAGUUGGUGGGGUAAAGGCCUACCAAGUCGACGAUCAGUAGCCGGACUGAGAGGUUGAACGGCCACAUUGGGACUGAGAUACGGCCCAGACUCCUACGGGAGGCAGCAGUCGGGAAUAUUGCGCAAUGGAGGAAACUCUGACGCAGUGACGCCGCGUGCAGGAAGAAGGUUUUCGGAUUGUAAACUGCUUUAGACAGGGAAGAAACAAGACAGUACCUGUAGAAUAAGCUCCGGCUAACUACGUGCCAGCAGCCGCGGUAAUACGUAGGGAGCGAGCGUUAUCCGGAUUUAUUGGGUGUAAAGGGUGCGUANACGGGAAGAUAAGUUAGUUGUGAAAUCCCUCGGCUUAACUGAGGAACUGCAACUAAAACUGUUUUUCUUGAGUACUGGAGAGGAAAGUGGAAUUCCUAGUGUAGCGGUGAAAUGCGUAGAUAUUAGGAGGAACACCAGUGGCGAAGGCGACUUUCUGGACAGAAACUGACGUUGAGGCACGAAAGUGUGGGGAGCAAACAGGAUUAGAUACCCUGGUAGUCCACACCGUAAACGAUGGAUACUAGGUGUAGGGGAUAAUAAAUUCUCUGUGCCGUCGCAAACGCAAUAAGUAUCCCACCUGGGGAGUACGGCCGCAAGGUUGAAACUCAAAGGAAUUGACGGGGGCCCGCACAAGCAGUGGAGUAUGUGGUUUAAUUCGACGCAACGCGAAGAACCUUACCAGGGCUUGACAUAUACAGGAAUAAGCUAGAGAUAGUUUAGCUCUUCGGAGUCUGUAUACAGGUGGUGCAUGGUUGUCGUCAGCUCGUGUCGUGAGAUGUUGGGUUAAGUCCCGCAACGAGCGCAACCCCUGUUUCCAGUUGCCAGCACAUAAUGGUGGGGACUCUGGAGAGACUGCCGGUGAUAAAUCGGAGGAAGGUGGGGACGACGUCAAAUCAUCAUGCCCUUUAUGUCCUGGGCUACACACGUACUACAAUGGCUAUAACAAAGAGAAGCGAAACCGCGAGGAGGAGCAAAACUCAAAAAAGUAGUCUCAGUUCGGAUUGCAGGCUGAAAUUCGCCUGCAUGAAGCCGGAAUUGCUGGUAAUGGCAGGUCAGCAUACUGCCGUGAAUACGAUCC